GUUUGCUUCAAGCAGCAGUACACUCGACCACCCCCACCUCCCAGCUAGGGUUAGGGUUUCGGCGUCGAUCUUCGGCCAUCAACGCUGCUCCGCUAGCUAGCUCAGCCAUGUCGUCCUCCCGGAGGGGGCCGGAGCAGCCCCCUCAGCGGCGGAUUCUGCGCACUCAGACGGCGGGGAACCUCGGCGAGUCGAUAUUCGACAGCGAGGUUGUCCCGUCCUCCCUCGUCGAGAUCGCCCCCAUUCUCCGUGUUGCCAACGAGGUCGAG
RNAcentral lists this unclassified non-coding RNA (266 nucleotides) under Hevea brasiliensis (rubber tree). The record is from RNAcentral. Lineage: Eukaryota; Viridiplantae; Streptophyta; Magnoliopsida; Malpighiales; Euphorbiaceae.